GACGAACGCUGGCGGCGUGCCUAACACAUGCAAGUCGAACGAGGUCCAUCCUUCGGGAGAAGACCUAGUGGCGAACGGGUGAGUAACACGUGAAGAACUUGCCCUGAAGACCGGGAUAACCCUCCGAAAGGAGAGCUAAUACCGGAUACCCCCACGAACCGCAUGGUUUGGUGAGGAAAUGGAUUCCGCUUCGGGAGGGCUUCGCGGCCUAUCAGCUAGUUGGUGGGGUAACGGCCACCAAGGCAUCGACGGGUAGCUGGUCUGAGAGGACGAUCAGCCACACUGGGACUGAGACACGGCCCAGACUCCUACGGGAGGCAGCAGUGGGGAAUCUUGCGCAAUGGGCGAAAGCCUGACGCAGCAACGCCGCGUGGGGAUGAAGGCUCUCGGGUUGUAAACCCCUUUCAGCAGGGACGAAUCAAGACGGUACCUGCAGAAGAAGCCCCGGCUAACUACGUGCCAGCAGCCGCGGU
This 473-nucleotide ribosomal RNA is filed under the name uncultured bacterium. Its description in RNAcentral is "bacterial SSU rRNA". It matches the Rfam family "Bacterial small subunit ribosomal RNA", at positions 28 to 521 of the family's 1533-position model. The record is from RNAcentral.